GAUGAACGCUGGCGGCGUGCCUAAUACAUGCAAGUCGAGCGAACAGACAGGGAGCUUGCUCCUCUGACGUUAGCGGCGGACGGGUGAGUAACACGUGGAUAACCUACCUAUAAGACUGGGAUAACUUCGGGAAACCGGAGCUAAUACCGGAUAAUAUAUUGAACCGCAUGGUUCAAUAGUGAAAGACGGUUUUGCUGUCACUUAUAGAUGGAUCCGCGCCGCAUUAGCUAGUUGGUAAGGUAACGGCUUACCAAGGCAACGAUGCGUAGCCGACCUGAGAGGGUGAUCGGCCACACUGGAACUGAGACACGGUCCAGACUCCUACGGGAGGCAGCAGUAGGGAAUCUUCCGCAAUGGGCGAAAGCCUGACGGAGCAACGCCGCGUGAGUGAUGAAGGUCUUCGGAUCGUAAAACUCUGUUAUUAGGGAAGAACAAAUGUGUAAGUAACUAUGCACGUCUUGACGGUACCUAAUCAGAAAGCCACGGCUAACUACGUG
RNAcentral lists this ribosomal RNA (497 nucleotides) under uncultured bacterium. RNAcentral's name for it is "partial 16S ribosomal RNA". It matches the Rfam family "Bacterial small subunit ribosomal RNA", at positions 28 to 507 of the family's 1533-position model. The record is from RNAcentral.